GUUAAUUACAGAUAUCUUGACCCACCAGGGGACCAAAGAAAAUGGUUCUACUAAAGGAAUGUUUGACUUAAGCGAUGUAUAACUGUCUAAAAGAUGCAGUUACGUGAUGUUCUUCAAUAAAAAGACACAAUGCACAAGGAUAGAAUUUAGACUGUUUGAAGCUUGGAUCAUAUUGAUUGGAUUGUGAAAAAUGUGCAUCAAAUAAAAAUGAGUCUAAUGACAGAAGACGAUAAAAAUACAUACAAAUUUGAUAUUGGUGUUGAAGACAACGAUAUCAUGAUUUUAUCAAGAUCGUUUUGAAAAUAUUUUUAAUUUUGUAUAAGUUUUUGUUCUUAAAAUGUAUAAAUUAUUUUU
Non-coding RNA from Hydra vulgaris (swiftwater hydra), 354 nucleotides. The record is from RefSeq and is a predicted model, not a curated record. Lineage: Eukaryota; Metazoa; Cnidaria; Hydrozoa; Anthoathecata; Hydridae.